This 305-nucleotide ribosomal RNA is filed under the name uncultured fungus. RNAcentral describes it as "eukaryotic LSU rRNA". The record is from RNAcentral. Lineage: Eukaryota; Fungi.
AACGCACCUUGCACCCUUUGGUAUUCCGAAGGGUACACCCGUUUGAGUGUCAUUGUAAUCUCACUACGAUCGACUUUAUCGUCUUUCCGUAUGUGGACUUGGAUGCUGCCGUGGACUUCCACGGCUCGUCUGAAAUGCCUGAGUGUACCCCGCUUUGCGGCGUAUUCGGUGUGAUAAAUCUUCACCGGAGUUGAUCCUUUAUGGGUCACGUCUUAAGGAGUGUGGCUCUAUGCUUCCAACCGUCUGUUUUGGACAAUCUCUGACAAUUUGACCUCAAAUCGGGUGGGACUACCCGCUGAACUUAA